GUGUCUGUAAAGUAACGUUACAAGUUAUGUUUCGUUUUCCUUUGCUGUUUCAUAAUUGCAGAUGCGUGAAUUUUAUAAUUAUAACAGAAAUUUUAUUCCAUAGGUUAGCAACUUCACGUACUGCCGCCAAGACAUCCUCGUUUCCAUGACAACUAACAUUAGACUCCGGAGCUUUCGAUUUCCUAGCAGCAGACUUCUGGACAAAAGCCAAAGCAUCGUGAUUCCGUAUUACAUUGUAAAUUCAGUGCAGAGCUAAAGGCCGAUGCAGAGUCCUCAAAUUAAUCAGCCGUGUUGGACCAGUCAAAUAUCAAUCAUGCCAGGCCUUGCGUGAUUAACUUUAUUCUUCCCUCUUUUCCCCAUGCAGAGAUGGCAAAAGAGUUGUAUAAGGUCCACGCGUAUUUUAUAAUGUUAUCACGAGCCCUAAACAGUAGGUUAAUAUGCCACUUCACCUUUUACACCCUGAAGAAUAAACGCGAACACCUGUACCUACAGGACCCCCAUCCCAUCUUUGGUCUGGCCCUACGCUACGUCAUAAAUCGAACGCGUUCUGCACCGCGAGUGUCAGAAUCCACCAGACGCCUGACAGAACAGACGUGUAUUGAGGAACUCUUCAUUUGAUACUCAGACAAGGCGAAAACUCAGAUAAUUAACUGCAGUAAACUCAUUUAUACGCCCUAGAGAGCGUUAUUUACUGCUAAUAAAUGGAAUAAAGUAUGUUUCAUGUUCCCGGUCCUUCCGGACAAAGAAGGCCGCCAUGUAGACAGAGGAUAGGGCCUUCUCCUGGUUCUGGUAGAUUUGAAUGUAUUUUUAAUGUUUGAUUGAUGUUGUUUAACCCUUGUGUUGCUGUUUCAUACACACUGGGGUCAUUUGGCCUCAACUUUCUCUCAGUUUCAGCAAAUGGAGUGAUUUUUUUAGUGACAAACUAUUUUGACAUAUUUUGGGAAAAGGCUUUUGAAUUAAAAAAAAAGUUUCAAAAAACUUAAUUCGGGGCAAAUUGGCUUUGUUUAUGUUGUUGGCUGUUACGGGUUAAAUUGCUUUAUUUUUAUACUGUCUGUUCAGGCAUAACUGGAAGCUGUCUCAAAUGAACAUGCUGUUUUCAUCUUUCAGUGGAAGUAAAAUAUGACCUGAAAGAAAAUAUUGGAGCUGGCUGCUACGGCAAUGUCUAUCGUGGUAUCAGAAAAGUGGACGGCAAACAGUUUAUCAUCAAGUCGACUUUUUCAGAAGUUGACAGCAAUGUGCCUGGAUAUCCGUUACCCAUACCAAUCGAAGUGGCCAUGAUGACAAUUGCGAGAGAUCCCCCCAGCCCGCUGCUCAUCAAGCUCCAGGAAUGGUUUUUAGUUAAAGUGGAGAAAUUGCCAAGAGGAAAAAGCUUGUGGGUUAAUGAUAUGCCGGUGCGGUAAGCAAAAUAAACUCAUUUCUACUUUAAAAUCUAUCCUGAAUGUAACUGGAAGCCAGUGUAAAGACUAGGCAAGGGCCAAUAACUGUUUUUAAGGUAUGGAAAAGUCGAGGUUUUAAAACUGCCAACGUUUCUGUAAUACCGUUGUGUGAGAUAUAUUAUUUACAGUUUUUUUUUUAGGACAAUGGUAUCUCCAGCAGAAUAAAUAUCCAAAAAUGCUGUUUUAAAUAGUAAAGAAAUCAGUGUUUUUGAAACAAACGAGGGCCGCAGAAGUCAAUUAAUCUUUUGAAUUAUUUAGCCUGACAUGUUUACUGCCAAAAAAAUAUUAUAAAUCUAUUACAAAAUAAAAUAUAUUGUUUUCAGAGGGGAACAAGUUUGUCUUUUACCCAGACAUUCAAAAAGACUACAUAUUAGAGCAGUAAUCACAAUACCGUGAAAUUUUGAUCCAAGGUUAUCAUACCGCCACAAUCUAAUACCGGCCCAUGCCUAGUAAAGACUGACCUGAGGACUGCUGUCGUGUGCUUUAUUUUAACUCAUUGCAUCUGCUUACAGAAAGUGUGUAAGACAAUAAUGUUGGUGAUGGAGUAUCUCGGCCCGUGCAGAACACUGGAGGAUUUCCUGCAGAAGCACCAACACCUGGAGGAGAAAGUCGCGCGUACGCUUAUCCUGCAGAUUGUCAAAGCAGCGCAGGAGUGCUUGAGGCGGAAAAUUUGUCAUCAUGAUAUUCAUAACUAAAUAACAUAAUAAUCAUUACAAUUAACCUGUAUCUCUUUUUUUUAGGCAUGUAUACAAGGCGAUAUGCAUGUGAACAUACACGUGAAGGGAAAUAAUAACACGUGGAGACAACUAAAUACAGUAUAUAUCACACAACAGCAAAAUAAACUCUUGUUUUUUCUACAAACUGUGUUUGUUCGUCAUUUAACAUUAAAUUCAGAGUGUUUACAAAGUAAUUAAACUCACCA
Danio rerio (zebrafish) is the source of this 2358-nucleotide non-coding RNA. The record is from RefSeq and is a predicted model, not a curated record. Lineage: Eukaryota; Metazoa; Chordata; Actinopteri; Cypriniformes; Danionidae.